This 1240-nucleotide long non-coding RNA is filed under the name Olea europaea subsp. europaea. Lineage: Eukaryota; Viridiplantae; Streptophyta; Magnoliopsida; Lamiales; Oleaceae. The record is from RNAcentral.
CUUGACUUUUCCCCUCGGUUUUCCCUUUAACGAAUCUAUUCGUUUUUUUAUCUUCCUUCCUUCGACAUUUACUUUUUAAAUCCAUCCAUUUCAUGGACUCUCUACUCUUUCCCUCUGCAUCCGAAGACGUCGACGACGUUUUUACCCUCUUCGAUCACUCCUUCUCCCCCCUCCAGCAACCAUCUUUGUCCAAUUCCACUGAACCCCUCUUCUUAGUCUCCUUCAGGUUAACUUUUUAACAUAUUUACCCUAAAAAUUAAUUGGGGGUAUUUGUUGAUUUUUUUUAUUUUGGUUUGUGUAGGCGGUGGAAGGAGGCUAGAGAGGCUGUGUGCAGUGGUGGUGACAGCGUUUUGUAUAAUGGGACGGCACAAUUGACAAGUUCUGGCGAGGAUGAGGAAAAGGAUGCGGGUAUGGGGGUGGGGGCGUAGGGAUUCGGAGAUUCUGGUGAGUAUGAAGAGAGAAGGGGAAGCAAACAUUAGUGAAGAAGAAAGGGUUUCAAGCAAGGGGGAUUUUGCAUUGGUGUCGGAGUGGAUGUUUUUGACAGCUCUUAAAUGGUGAGCGCCAGUUAUCAUUCAAAUUAGUUUAUUUUUUCGAAUCAUUUUCUCAGUGUGCUUAUGUAAUUAUGUAGUGAUUGGUUAAUUCUUAUACUUGUAGUUAUACUUAGUUUUUUAGGGUUGCAUUGAACUUCUCUUCCAUGCAAUUGAUGGAAGAGUAGAAAUGACCCAAGUUUGGUUCCAUUGUUAAAUGUUAAAUUUGAAGUUGUCUUCUGUUGAGUUUAUCUGUUAAGCUCUUGAUGAUUAAGUGCUUGUCAAUUGUCAUCGUGUUGCUCUAAAAACAAGAACCAAGUUUGAGCAAUUCAUAUGCAUGCCUGAACAACCAAAACUCAACUUCACAAUUUGGGUAGGAUUAUCUACAAUCUUAUUGCUAUAGACUUUAGGAAAAAAAAAAACAUUUGUAUUAAACCAUUUGAAUGAAUACUAUGAAGAAGCUCCUUUUUAGAAUGUGUAUUGAAAUUUUGUUGUUGACUGUAAGAUAAGCAAGGAGUUAUUAGGGAGGAUAUGUUUGUUUUAUUAUCUGUUUCUGUUUUACUAAGAUAUUUCUGCUGAACUUUUGAAUUUUGUUUUGAUAAAUUAAAUCAUGGGUCGGCGCUGAAUCUGCUGGAAAUGAAGUUCAAACUGAAAGUAUUACUUUCACAGCUAUGAUUUUCUUCAAAAUUGACUCUAUUUCUGUAGGAAUUGUU